Long non-coding RNA from Mustela lutreola (European mink), 659 nucleotides. RefSeq lists it as uncharacterized. NCBI's taxonomy places the organism in Eukaryota, Metazoa, Chordata, Mammalia, Carnivora, Mustelidae. The transcript has 3 exons. The record is from RefSeq and is a predicted model, not a curated record.
CUCACCACGUCCUCCCCAGACCCUUGGUCCCCCUGGCUGAGCUCUGGGCUUCGUAACCACUAGCCCUGCACCCAUCUCUUGCAACGGAGUGUUGAUGCUUUUUCUUUCCUCUGGGCUCGAACAGAAUGUCAGCACAGACAGAGCAUGGGAGCUGGAGUUCUCCAACCCUCUGGUGAAUCAGGUGGCAUUUACAGGGGUGCGACGAGGACGCCUCCUGCCACUUUUCUGCUUUGCUCUUGGGAACAGCAUGCCCGAGGAAUGUUAAGGAACUGAGCGCCGGUUACAGUAAAAAUGGGCCGUGGACCGGCAAUUAGAAAAAUGCUUUUACAAGGCAGAGUUGGGAGAAGGGAUGAAUCAUCUUACUCUGCUCCAUUCCCCUUUGGGGGCUGGGCGGGGGGGGGGGGGGGUGACUCGCUGUCACAGAGAGCUGGGAUGGCUGUCACCGAGCCCGGGAGGAAAGCCUUUCUAAGGAUCUGGGCUCUAUUGUUGGUCUUUUUCUUGAAAACACUGAAACUGAAGUGUUGGCUGACGCCAUUUGGAGAAGUGUAAUUUGUUGCUGCCUCAAAGAUUUUAUUCAUCCUGAACCCCAAGAGGAAGGCCCUCUUCCAAGAAACGAGCAACUAUGUAUCUGAAAGCACUUCAAUGAGCAAAAACAACCC